GAGUGUGAGGGUGAUCUGACUGUGACAUCCGUCACCCCAUUGAUUGCCAGGGUUGAUUCAGCAGAUCUGGCUGGCUAGGCAGGUGUUCCCCUCCUCCCUUGCUGCUACAUGUGCAUCCCUUCUAGAAGCUGCACACUCGAAGAGGAUGUCCUUCUCUGGUAGAGGAGGACCAACCUUUCUUCAGACAAGGGUAUAUGAGUAGCUGUGCUCCAUUGCUAGAACCUCCAAACAAGCUCUCAAGGUCCAUUAAUAGAAGACAAAAAGAGACAGAUGGCCAUGU
Molecule: small nuclear RNA, 280 nt
Filed under: Dasypus novemcinctus (nine-banded armadillo)
Lineage: Eukaryota; Metazoa; Chordata; Mammalia; Cingulata; Dasypodidae
Description: 7SK RNA (ENSDNOG00000043548.1)
Rfam family: 7SK RNA
About the family: 7SK was discovered as an abundant small nuclear RNA in the mid-70s but a possible function has only recently been suggested. Two independent studies have found that 7SK RNA binds the CDK9/cyclin T complex (known as elongation factor P-TEFb).
Source: RNAcentral